UACAGAGGGGGCAAGCGUUAUUCGGAAUUAUUGGGCGUAAAGGGCGCGUAGGCGGCCUGGCAAGUGGAAGGUGAAAUCCCUCGGCUUAACCGAGGAACUGCCCUCCAAACUGCUUGGCUUGAGUCCGGGAGAGGUGAGUGGAAUUCCCAGUGUAGCGGUGAAAUGCGUAGAUAUUGGGAGGAACACCAGUGGCGAAGGCGCCUAUCUGGCCCGAUACUGACGCUGAGGCGCGAAAGCUAGGGGAGCAAACGGG
RNAcentral lists this ribosomal RNA (253 nucleotides) under uncultured bacterium. Its description in RNAcentral is "partial 16S ribosomal RNA". It matches the Rfam family "Bacterial small subunit ribosomal RNA", at positions 524 to 776 of the family's 1533-position model. The record is from RNAcentral.